UCAAGCGCAAAAGGGCAUUUGGUGGAUGCCUUGGCACUAAGAGGCGAUGAAGGACGUAGCACACUGCGAUAAGCUACGGGGAGCUGUGAGCAAGCUUUGAUCCGUGGAUUUCCGAAUGGGGAAACCCGGCCCGUAAGGGUCAUUCUACACUGAAUACAUAGGUUUAGAAAGCAAACCCGGCGAACUGAAACAUCUAAGUAGCCGGAGGAAAGGACAUCAACCGAGACUCCGUUAGUAGUGGCGAGCGAACGCGGACCAGGCCAGUGGCCAAAUGUUAAGAACCGGAACCGUCUGGAAAGUCGGGCCAUAGUGGGUGAUAGCCCCGUACGGGUAGAAAGACGUUUGGUCUUCGAGUAGGGCGGGACACGUGAAAUCCUGUCUGAACGUGGGGGGACCACCCUCCAAGCCUAAGUACUCCUUAGUGACCGAUAGUGGACAAGUACCGUGAGGGAAAGGUGAAAAGCACCCCGACAAGGGGAGUGAAAUAGUUCCUGAAACCGGAUGCCUACAAGCAGUCGGAGGAAGAGUAGUCUUCGGAUUACGGCUUCUGACGGCGUACCUUUUGUAUAAUGGGUCAGCGACUUAGUCUGUACAGCAAGCUUAAGCCGGUAGGUGUAGGCGCAGCGAAAGCGAGUCUUAAUAGGGCGAUGAAGUUGUGCGGAUUAGACCCGAAACGUGGUGAUCUAGCCAUGGGCAGGUUGAAGGUGGGGUAAGACCCACUGGAGGACCGAACCCACCUAUGUUGAAAAAUGGGGGGAUGACCUGUGGCUAGGGGUGAAAGGCCAAUCAAACCACGAAAUAGCUGGUUCUCCGCGAAAACUAUUUAGGUAGUGCGUCAUGUUUUACCACCGGGGGUAGAGCACUGGAUGGGCUAGGGGGGCGCGAGCCUUACCAAACCUAACCAAACUCCGAAUACCGGUGAGUAUAAUCAUGGCAGACAGACUACGGGUGCUAAGAUCCGUAGUCGAAAGGGAAACAGCCCAGACCGCCAGUUAAGGUCCCCAAAUAAUGGCUAAGUGGGAAAGGAUGUGGGAAGACCAAGACAGCCAGGAGGUUGGCUUAGAAGCAGCCAUCCUUUAAAGAAAGCGUAACAGCUCACUGGUCUAAUUAAGCCGUCCUGCGCCGAAGAUGUAACGGGGCUUAAGCCAUUUACCGAAACUGCGGGUGCAUUUGACCUUCGGGUUAAGUGCGCGGUAGCGGAGCGUUCCGUAGGCCUGUGAAGGUGUAUCGUGAGGUAUGCUGGAGGUAUCGGAAGUGCGAAUGCUGACAUGAGUAACGAUAAAGAGUGUGAGAAACACUCUCGCCGAAAGCCCAAGGGUUCCUGCGCAAGGUUAAUCCGCGCAGGGUGAGCCGGCCCCUAAGCCGAGGCCGAAAGGCGUAGGUGAUGGGAAUCAGGUUAAUAUUCCUGAGCCCGCUGGUAGUGACGAAUACCGUAAGUUGUCAGUCCUUAUUGGAUUGGUUCUGGCAGUGAAGGUGUUCCAGGAAAUAACUCCAGCUAAUGGACCGUACCCCAAACCGACACAGGUGGGCAGGUAGAGAAUACUAAGGCGCUUGAGAGAACGGUGUUGAAGGAACUCGGCAAAAUACCCUCGUAACUUCGGGAGAAGGGGGACCUCUUAUUGGGCAACCAGUAUGAGGUGGCACAGACCAGGGGGUGGCGACUGUUUACUAAAAACAUAGGGCUCUGCUAAGUCGUAAGACGAUGUAUAGGGUCUGACGCCUGCCCGGUGCCGGAAGGUUAAGGAGAGAGGUGAGAGCUUUGAACCGAAGCCCCGGUAAACGGCGGCCGUAACUAUAACGGUCCUAAGGUAGCGAAAUUCCUUGUCGGGUAAGUUCCG
RNAcentral lists this ribosomal RNA (1838 nucleotides) under Alphaproteobacteria bacterium MarineAlpha12_Bin1. Its description in RNAcentral is "bacterial LSU rRNA". It matches the Rfam family "Bacterial large subunit ribosomal RNA", at positions 1 to 1985 of the family's 2925-position model. Lineage: Bacteria; Pseudomonadati; Pseudomonadota; Alphaproteobacteria. The record is from RNAcentral.